GAUGAACGCUGGCGGCGUGCCUAAUACAUGCAAGUCGAGCGAACAGAUGAGGAGCUUGCUCCUCUGACGUUAGCGGCGGACGGGUGAGUAACACGUGGAUAACCUACCUAUAAGUCUGGGAUAACUUCGGGAAACCGGAGCUAAUACCGGAUAAUAUAUUGAACCGCAUGGUUCAAUAGUGAAAGACGGUUUUGCUGUCACUUAUAGAUGGAUCCGCGCCGCAUUAGCUAGUUGGUAAGGUAACGGCUUACCAAGGCAACGAUGCGUAGCCGACCGGAGAGGGUGAUCGGCCACACUGGAACGGAGACACGGUCCAGACUCCUACGGGAGGCAGCAGUAGGGAAUCUUCCGCAAUGGGCGAAAGCCUGACGGAGCAACGCCGCGUGAGUGAUGAAGGUCUUCGGAUCGUAAAACUCUGUUAUUAGGGAAGAACAAAUGUGUAAGUAACUAUGCACGUCUUGACGGUACCUAAUCAGAAAGCCACGGCUAACUACGUG
RNAcentral lists this ribosomal RNA (497 nucleotides) under uncultured bacterium. RNAcentral's name for it is "partial 16S ribosomal RNA". It matches the Rfam family "Bacterial small subunit ribosomal RNA", at positions 28 to 507 of the family's 1533-position model. The record is from RNAcentral.